AAUUACCAUACCGGACUCAGCUCGCCCACUAGGUCCAUAAUGGAGGCAAAGCUUCACGACCCGGAUCCAAGACCGACCCGGACAGGCGAACCAGAGCUCGAUCUCUACACCAUCCCUAGCUANUGGUUUUCGUGGGACGAUAUCCACGAAACAGAAAGAGCCGGGUUGAGAGAGUUCUUCGAUGGAAGCUCGAUCACAAGAACCCCAAAAAUCUACAAAGAAUACAGGGACUUUAUCAUCAACAAGUACCGUGAAGAUCCUUCUAGAAGGCUUACUUUCACGGAGAUUCGCAAGUCACUGGUCGGCGACGUUACGUUGCUCCACAAGGUGUUUCAAUUCCUGGACAAGUGGGGAUUGAUAAACUUCGGUGCGAUUUCGACUCGCUACGAUGAUUUGGAGAGGGAGGAAACGGGUAAGUUUAGGGUUGAGGACGGUCCUCCGAAUGGCGUGCGGGUUGUGGCUAUGCCGAAUUCUCUGAAGCCGCUCUCGGUGCCGCAAGGUGCGGCAGGUAAUGCGGAUAUUGAUGAGAAUGGAUUGAAAUUGCCGCCGUUAACUUCCUAUUCGAAUGUGUUUGGUGAGCUGAGGAAGCAAAAGGGGCUUCUGUGUGGCAAUUGUAGUGAAAGUUGUGAUUCAGGG
RNAcentral lists this unclassified non-coding RNA (636 nucleotides) under Hevea brasiliensis (rubber tree). The record is from RNAcentral. Lineage: Eukaryota; Viridiplantae; Streptophyta; Magnoliopsida; Malpighiales; Euphorbiaceae.